UGGUAUUAAUCCUAGCGGCGCUACUAA
This 27-nucleotide non-coding RNA is filed under the name Bombyx mori (domestic silkworm). Lineage: Eukaryota; Metazoa; Arthropoda; Insecta; Lepidoptera; Bombycidae. The record is from RNAcentral.